AGAGUUUGAUCCUGGCUCAGGAUGAACGCUAGCUACAGGCUUAACACAUGCAAGUCGAGGGGAAACGACAUCGAAAGCUUGCUUUUGAUGGGCGUCGACCGGCGCACGGGUGAGUAACGCGUAUCCAACCUGCCCACCACUUGGGGAUAACCUUGCGAAAGUAAGACUAAUACCCAAUGAUAUCUCUAGAAGACAUCUGAAGGAGAUUAAAGAUUUAUCGGUGAUGGAUGGGGAUGCGUCUGAUUAGCUUGUUGGCGGGGUAACGGCCCACCAAGGCAACGAUCAGUAGGGGUUCUGAGAGGAAGGUCCCCCACAUUGGAACUGAGACACGGUCCAAACUCCUACGGGAGGCAGCAGUGAGGAAUAUUGGUCAAUGGGCGAGAGCCUGAACCAGCCAAGUAGCGUGCAGGACGACGGCCCUAUGGGUUGUAAACUGCUUUUAUAAGGGAAUAAAGUGAGUCUCGUGAGACUUUUUGCAUGUACCUUAUGAAUAAGGACCGGCUAAUUCCGUGCCAGCAGCCGCGGUAAUACGGAAGGUCCGGGCGUUAUCCGGAUUUAUUGGGUUUAAAGGGAGCGUAGGCCGGAGAUUAAGCGUGUUGUGAAAUGUAGACGCUCAACGUCUGCACUGCAGCGCGAACUGGUUUCCUUGAGUACGCACAAAGUGGGCGGAAUUCGUGGUGUAGCGGUGAAAUGCUUAGAUAUCACGAAGAACUCCGAUUGCGAAGGCAGCUCACUGGAGCGCAACUGACGCUGAAGCUCGAAAGUGCGGGUAUCGAACAGGAUUAGAUACCCUGGUAGUCCGCACGGUAAACGAUGGAUGCCCGCUGUUGGCCUGAAUAGGUCAGCGGCCAAGCGAAAGCAUUAAGCAUCCCACCUGGGGAGUACGCCGGCAACGGUGAAACUCAAAGGAAUUGACGGGGGCCCGCACAAGCAGUGGAGUAUGUGGUUUAAUUCGAAGCAACGCGAAGAACCUUACCAGGUCUUGACAUCGAGUGACGUAUCCAGAGAUGGAUAUUCCCUUCGGGACACAAAGACAGGUGGUGCAUGGUUGUCGUCAGCUCGUGUCGUGAGAUGUUGGGUUAAGUCCCGCAACGAGCGCAACCCUUAUCAUUAGUUGCUACGCAAGAGCACUCUAAUGAGACUGCCGUUGACAAAACGGAGGAAGGUGGGGAUGACGUCAAAUCAUCAUGCCCCUUAUGACCUGGGCUACACACGUACUACAAUGGCGAUCGAACAGAGGGAAGCAAGACAGCGAUGUGGAGCCAAUCCCAAAAAAUCGCCCCAGUUCAGAUUGCAGGCUGCAACUCGCCUGCAUGAAGUCGGAAUUGCUAGUAAUCGCAGAUCAGCAUGCUGCGGUGAAUACGUUCCCGGGCCUUGUACACACCGCCCGUCACACCAUGGGAGUCGGUAACACCCAAAGCCGGUCGUCUAACCUUCGGGAGGACGCCGUCUAAGGUGGGAUUGAUGACUGGGGUGAAGUCGUAACAAGGUA
RNAcentral lists this ribosomal RNA (1492 nucleotides) under metagenome. Its description in RNAcentral is "bacterial SSU rRNA". It matches the Rfam family "Bacterial small subunit ribosomal RNA". The record is from RNAcentral.